UUACAUUUAAAGAUAAAGAACAUUUAGGUCAACACUUCAUAUGGACCCUUAAAAAUCGUUGGAUUAUCUCGGUGUUGCUGGUCAGUAAUGAAUAAAAAAAUCACUGGUCAAUUUAAAGGUUGUUGUAAGUGAUGCAAUAUAUUCUUAUUUUCCUGUUCCCCUUAUGUAACUUCAAGUUUUAUUAAAGUUUACAUUCAUCAAAGCCUUAGUUUAAUUUAGUUUCCUGUCAUUACUACCCCCCCCCCCCUUUUCCCUUUUUUUUGUCGCAUGUUGUGUAUCAUGUACUGAUUCAAUAUAUACUUCGAGCAUACAUAUGUACACUUAUGGAACAAUAACCAUUUAGUAAACUUUUUAAAACGUUUUUGUAGACUUGUUUUCUUGUUAACUUGAAGAUGUAUAAAUAACCACACGAC
Molecule: long non-coding RNA, 413 nt
Filed under: Mytilus galloprovincialis (Mediterranean mussel)
Lineage: Eukaryota; Metazoa; Mollusca; Bivalvia; Mytilida; Mytilidae
Source: RNAcentral